ACUCCUACGGGUGGCUGCAGUGGGGAAUAUUGGACAAUGGGCGAAAGCCUGAUCCAGCCAUGCCGCGUGUGUGAAGAAGGCCUUUUGGUUGUAAAGCACUUUAAGUGGGGAGGAAAAGCUUAUGGUUAAUACCCAUAAGCCCUGACGUUACCCACAGAAUAAGCACCGGCUAACUCUGUGCCAGCAGCCGCGGUAAUACAGAGGGUGCAAGCGUUAAUCGGAAUUACUGGGCGUAAAGCGCGCGUAGGUGGUUAUUUAAGUCAGAUGUGAAAGCCCCGGGCUUAACCUGGGAACUGCAUCUGAUACUGGAUAACUAGAGUAGGUGAGAGGGGAGUAGAAUUCCAGGUGUAGCGGUGAAAUGCGUAGAGAUCUGGAGGAAUACCGAUGGCGAAGGCAGCUCCCUGGCAUCAUACUGACACUGAGGUGCGAAAGCGUGGGUAGCAAACAGGAUUAGAUACCCUGGUAGUCCACGCCGUAAACGAUGUCUACCAGUCGUUGGGUCUUUUAAAGACUUAGUGACGCAGUUAACGCAAUAAGUAGACCGCCUGGGGAGUACGGCCGCAAGGUUAAAACUCAAAUGAAUUGACGGGGGCCCGCACAAGCGGUGGAGCAUGUGGUUUAAUUCGAUGCAACGCGAAGAACCUUACCUGGUCUUGACAUAGUGAGAAUCUUGCAGAGAUGCAAGAGUGCCUUCGGGAAUUCACAUACAGGUGAUGCAUGGGUGUCGUCAGCUCG
Molecule: ribosomal RNA, 735 nt
Filed under: uncultured bacterium
Lineage: Bacteria
Description: bacterial SSU rRNA
Rfam family: Bacterial small subunit ribosomal RNA
Source: RNAcentral